RNAcentral lists this ribosomal RNA (1167 nucleotides) under Triticum aestivum (bread wheat). RNAcentral's name for it is "partial small subunit ribosomal RNA". The record is from RNAcentral. Lineage: Eukaryota; Viridiplantae; Streptophyta; Magnoliopsida; Poales; Poaceae.
AUGGGCAACGGCAAGGUGUACGCGACGAUCGUGCUCAUCAGGCUGAUCUACGCUGGCAUGCACAUAUUCACCAAGGCGGCGUUCGAGGAGGGCACCAGCACCACCGUCUUCGUCUUCUACCGGCACGCCGUCGCCGCCAUCUUCUUGGCGCCUUUCGCCUUCUUCCUCGAGAUCAGGUGGCCGAAUAGACAUGACAUGACGGGUUUGUUCAGUCAUCGUGAGAUGAGGUCAACUGCAUCGCUUAUCCCUCUCGUCUUCUCUGAUUUCAGGCAGGGGUCGGCGCCACCGCUGACGUUCAGACUCUCCGUCAAGAUCUUUAUCCACGCCUUCUAUGGGAUGGCUGGAACGAUAAACCUGUAUAGCAUUGGCCUGAAUUAUGCUUCAGCAACCUCUUCGUCGGCCAUCUUCAACAUCGUGCCAGUGGUUGCAUUCAUCCUGGCCGUCAUGUUCAGGAUGGAGACUCUCAAGUUGAAGAGCGUCCACGGCAUGGCCAAAGCCUCGGGGAUACUUCUGUGCAUCGGAGGAGUGGUCGCGCUGGCGCUGUACCAAGGCCCCCAGCUCAAGUCCUUGAACCACCACCCGCUCCUGCACAGCACCGGCACGGCCGUGCACGCGCGCCCGGAGAAGAACUGGGCGCUGGGCAUCUUCCUCAUGACCGCGUCGGUCGUGAUAUGGGCCCUGUGGACAGUACAGCAGGGCCCCCUGUUGCUGGAGUACCCAUCCAAGCUUCUCAACACGACGCUCCAGUGCACCUUCGCCAGCGUCCAGUCGUUCGUCAUCGCCCUGGUCAUGGAGAGGGACUUCUCGCGGUGGAAGCUCGCCGGCGGCAUGAGCCUCUUCGCGGUUCUCUUCACGGGCAUUGUUGUGGCGGCGAUCUCGUACUACCUGCAGAUCUGGGUGAUCGAGAAGAAAGGCCCGGUGUUCCUGUCCAUGUCCAUGCCGCUCAGCCUCGUCUUCACCAUGGUGAUCGCCUCCUUCCUCCUGGGAGAGGACGUGGGCCUGGGAAGCAUUAUCGGUGGCGCGCUGCUCGUUGCCGGUCUCUAUGCCGUGCUCUGGGGCAAGGGGAGGGAGGAGCGAGGGGCGGCGGUGGACGCCGCUCUGGCGCAAAGGAGGGCGGGGGAAUCCAAGGAGAGCGAGAUCUUGUCAGACGCGACGGCCAAGGUUUGA